AAAAAAAAAAAAAAAAAGAGAGAGAGAGAGAAAAAUGGUGGUGUUUGGAGCGCGAGAUGGUGGGAUAAAGGCGCUGAUCCCUCCUCCCGGAUCUAGAGCAAAGCCGGCCAUUGCAGUUCCAUUUAUCCUCUUUUUCUUGUGCAAUGAAUUGUCUGAUCCGGACUAUUCGGUUGCAUUUGCAGCUUCACUUACAAGUUUGGUUUUGUGGUUUUGUUGUGCUUUUUUUCCCCUUUUUGUUUCUUUUUUUUUUAUUGGGUUGUUUUGGGUUUGUUUUUUCUUUCCUUUUUUUUUUUUUUUGGUGUAUUUUUUCCUUUUUUUCAUUAAAAAGUAAUCCUCCCCAAAUCUCCCAAGGAAAAUCUACCUCUUUGUGGAACAAAUAAAAUAUUCAGGCACAAACUUCCGCCAUGGACUGUAAAAAAAAGAGAUGGGUUGUUUUUUGUUCUUUUUCUUUUUUAAUUUUUACUUUUUUAUGGCAUUUUUUUCUCCUGCUUUUAGGAUACAUUGUAGUAGAAAGCCAAUGGAGGAAAACAAAGGUAAUAUAUAUAUAUAAAAUCAAAAAUAUAUACGGGCCAAAUGAUAGUGAUUAUAUAUAAUUAAAUCAUAGUUUUUAGGUGUGUGGGUUUAUCUUAUAUUUUAAGCAGUUCCCGUAAAAAGGAGAUAUACAUAUAAAUAUGUAGUCAACAUACAGAAUAUUUAUAUAUGUAUGUAGUAAAUAUAUAGAAAUAUUUCUAUAUCUGUAGAAAUAAUAGAGCAUCUACAUGGGCCUAAAUCUGAAAUUCCAUGGGGAAAAAAGCAGUAUUUUAGGCAUGUAGCUUUUAACAAGGAAGGGGCAACGUUGUAGCCUGUGACAACACUGUGAUGCAGACAAAAAGGUAAGGCAACAUUAAAAAAAUAUAAAAAAAAAAAAAAGAAAAAAAAAGCGUAUGUGGUACCUUGGCUGCAGCCUCCAACAACGAGCGUGUGGAUGUUACGGGAUUUUGGUUUUUUAUGGUAUUACCACGUCUGAUCACACCAAUAUAUGAUUUUAAUUAAGCGAAUGGCGGGCGAGCUGUCGUGGGGAGCAGGCAAGCGGCGAUGGCUUCUUCCCACACCACUCCGGCUCCGAAGAUAAAUCAGUCCUCGGGUGUUAGGGGAUUUCUCCUUGGUUUGUUUUUUUUCCCCCAAGCACGUUUGGGUAUUUUCCAUGCCGUGAGGAAAGCGGGAGAUGGCGGCUCCGACCCCUGCGAAGGAGAAAAGCAGUGCAAGAGAACAGAAUUAGGCAUUAAACUACCCACCUUGGGUGAUGAGUCCCCAAAGUCAAUAAGCCGCCUUGACAAACAGGAUAACCUCUGCGAGAAAUAUCUGGGAUUUUUAAUAAAACACCUCACAGGCUCUACUGGACAGUCUAGCAAAAUAAAGAUGUAACUUAAACUGC
Long non-coding RNA from Manacus vitellinus (golden-collared manakin), 1414 nucleotides. RefSeq lists it as uncharacterized. The record is from RefSeq and is a predicted model, not a curated record. Lineage: Eukaryota; Metazoa; Chordata; Aves; Passeriformes; Pipridae. The transcript has 2 exons.